Molecule: ribosomal RNA, 536 nt
Filed under: uncultured bacterium
Lineage: Bacteria
Description: bacterial SSU rRNA
Rfam family: Bacterial small subunit ribosomal RNA
Source: RNAcentral
UACCGGGGUUUGAACUGUACGGGACCGCGGCAGAGAUGUCGCUUUCCUUCGGGACCCGUAUAGAGGUGCUGCAUGGCUGUCGUCAGCUCGUGUCGUGAGAUGUUGGGUUAAGUCCCGCAACGAGCGCAACCCUUGCCUCCUGUUGCUAACGAGUAAAGUCGAGCACUCUGGAGAGACUGCCGGUGAUAAACCGGAGGAAGGUGGGGAUGACGUCAAGUCCUCAUGGCCUUUAUGCCCCGGGCUACACACGUGCUACAAUGGCUGGUACAAAGGGUUGCAAAACCGCGAGGUUGAGCUAAUCCCAAAAAGCCAGUCCCAGUUCGGAUUGCAGUCUGCAACUCGACUGCAUGAAGUUGGAAUCGCUAGUAAUCGCGGAUCAGCACGCCGCGGUGAAUACGUUCCCGGGCCUUGUACACACCGCCCGUCACAUCACGAAAGCCGGCUGUACUAGAAGUCGCUGAGCUGACCCGUAAGGGAGGCAGGCGCCCACGGUAUGGUCGGUGAUUGGGGUGAAGUCGUAACAAGGUAACCAAGGG